AGAGUUUGAUCCUGGCUCAGAACGAACGCUGGCGGCAUGCCUAACACAUGCAAGUCGAACGCUUGUCCGGCUUCGGCCGGGCGGGAGUGGCGCACGGGUGAGUAGCGCGUGGGAACCUGCCCUGUUGUGGGGGAUAACCGAGGGAAACUUCGGCUAAUACCGCAUACGCCGGGAAACCGGGAAAGAUUUAUCGCAGCAGGAGGGGCCCGCGUCGGAUUAGCUAGUUGGUGGGGUAACGGCCCACCAAGGCAGUGAUCCGUAGCUGGUCUGAGAGGAUGAUCAGCCACACUGGGACUGAGACACGGCCCAGACUCCUACGGGAGGCAGCAGUGGGGAAUAUUGGACAAUGGGCGCAAGCCUGAUCCAGCAAUGCCGCGUGAGUGAUGAAGGCCUUAGGGUUGUAAAGCUCUUUCGCCCGCGACGAUGAUGACGGUAGCGGGAGAAGAAGCCCCGGCUAACUUCGUGCCAGCAGCCGCGGUAAUACGAAGGGGGCGAGCGUUGUUCGGAUUUACUGGGCGUAAAGGGCGCGUAGGCGGCCCUCCUAGUCGCGUGUGAAAGCCCCGGGCUCAACCUGGGAAUUGCGCGCGAAACGGGGGGGCUUGAGUUCGGGAGAGGAGCGUGGAAUUCCCAGUGUAGAGGUGAAAUUCGUAGAUAUUGGGAAGAACACCGGGCGAAGGCGGCGCUCUGGACCGAGACUGACGCUGAGGCGCGAAAGCGUGGGGAGCAAACAGGAUUAGAUACCCUCGUAGUCC
This 752-nucleotide ribosomal RNA is filed under the name uncultured bacterium. Its description in RNAcentral is "bacterial SSU rRNA". It matches the Rfam family "Bacterial small subunit ribosomal RNA", at positions 8 to 796 of the family's 1533-position model. The record is from RNAcentral.